GAGACAUUACGGGAGGCAGCAGUGGGGAAUAUUGCGCAAUGGGCGAAAGCCUGACGCAGCUACGCCGCGUGGGUGAUGAAGGCCUUCGGGUUGUAAAGCCCUGUCGUAGGGGAAGAAACAAAUGACGGUACCCUACAAGAAAGCGCCGGCUAACUCCGUGCCAGCAGCCGCGGUAAUACGGAGGGCGCAAGCGUUGCUCGGAAUCACUGGGCGUAAAGCGUACGCAGGCGGACCGUUAAGUCGGGUGUGAAAGCCCAGGGCUCAACCCUGGAAUUGCAUUCGAAACUGGCGGCCUUGAGUACGGGAGAGGGAAGCGGAAUUCCUGGUGUAGAGGUGAAAUUCGUAGAUAUCAGGAGGAACAUCAGUGGCGAAAGCGGCCUCCUGGCCCGAUACUGACGCUCAUGUACGAAAGCGUGGGGAGCAAACAGGAUUAGAUACCCUGGUAGUCCACGCUGUAAACGAUGAGUGCUAGCUGCUGGGAAUGCUUACCGUCUCAGUGGCGAAGCCAACGCAUUAAGCACUCCGCCUGGGGACUACGGCCGCAAGGCUAAAACUCAAAGGAAUUG
This 566-nucleotide ribosomal RNA is filed under the name uncultured Pseudomonadota bacterium. Its description in RNAcentral is "bacterial SSU rRNA". It matches the Rfam family "Bacterial small subunit ribosomal RNA", at positions 332 to 912 of the family's 1533-position model. The record is from RNAcentral. Lineage: Bacteria; Pseudomonadati; Pseudomonadota.